CUGGUUGAUCCUGCCAGUAGAAUAUGUUUGUAAGUAUGCAUGGCCGCUACAGUGAAACUGCAAAUGGCUCAUUAAAAUCAGUUAUGGUUCCUUUGAUCGCUCCAACUGUUACUUGGAUAACUAUGGUAAUUCUAGAGUGAAUAUAUGCCGAUGAGCACUGACGCCUAGGGAUGCGUGCAAUUAUCAGACCAAAACCCAUCCGGAUCGGGGGGGCUCUAUCUACUAUCUACGCCUACCAUGGUGACCAUGGGUAAUGGGGAAUCAGGGUUCUAUUCCGGAGAGGGACGUUGAGAAAUGGCUGCCACAUCCAAGGAAGGGAGCAGGCGCGCAAAUUACCCACUCCCGACGCGGGGAGGUAGUGACGUAAAAUAAAAAUACAGGACUCUUUCGAGGCCCUGUAAUUGAAAUAAAUACACUUUAAAUCCUUUAACAAGGAUCUAUUGGAGGGCAAGCACUUCAGACUAGGUUUUUGCCUUCUUUUGGAUCAACAGCAAAAACAUGUGAGGAAGGCUGAACUUGAUGGACGCAAGUCUCUUUUCAGCUAUGUAACGAUGUAAGUCUGGUGCCAGCAGCCACGGUAAUUCCAGCUCCAACCUCU
RNAcentral lists this ribosomal RNA (598 nucleotides) under Pelobates cultripes (western spadefoot toad). Its description in RNAcentral is "SSU_rRNA_eukarya". It matches the Rfam family "Eukaryotic small subunit ribosomal RNA", at positions 4 to 602 of the family's 1831-position model. Lineage: Eukaryota; Metazoa; Chordata; Amphibia; Anura; Pelobatidae. The record is from RNAcentral.